Molecule: ribosomal RNA, 576 nt
Filed under: Triticum aestivum (bread wheat)
Lineage: Eukaryota; Viridiplantae; Streptophyta; Magnoliopsida; Poales; Poaceae
Description: partial small subunit ribosomal RNA
Source: RNAcentral
AUGGCAGAUGGCGCGGAGAUCGCUGCUAACGCCCCCCUGACCAUCGACGAGCAGCUUUUGAGUAUCGAGGCCCGUCUUCGGUCGGCCCAUCGGUUGAUGCGCCGGCUUCAGCGUGCCGGCGCCCAGGCGGUUGCAGCUCUGUGGCCAGACGCGCCAGUUCUGCGCACUGCCAGUCGGACUGCCGACUGGCUGGAGGUCGCAGCCGGCUGUCUUGAAGCCUGGAAGGGUUCCUCAGCCCGGGCCGGAGCGCGCUGGGCCUUGGAAUUUGUCAAGGCGUGGUAUCCGGGGCUGGACCUGGACCGGCUAGCCGCGUUCCGGUCAGAGGCCCAGGCGGAGCUAGUGGCUGUGGAGGGCACCCUCGUCGAGCAUGCAGCAGCGAUUGCCGACUACACAAACACCAGCGUCUUCCUCCCUGAGCGGGCUGCAGGCGGCGAGGAGGUGCCGCCGGAGUGGUUCGGGAUGAAUCCGGACUAUGACGAAGACUCGGCAGAAGUGAUUGGCUCCAGCUCCGAGGAGGAAGACGAGGCGGAGGAUGAAGGCGAGACGGAGGUGCCAGAAGACGUAGCGGGCGACUAG